Long non-coding RNA from Musa acuminata AAA Group (dessert banana), 958 nucleotides. RefSeq lists it as uncharacterized. NCBI's taxonomy places the organism in Eukaryota, Viridiplantae, Streptophyta, Magnoliopsida, Zingiberales, Musaceae. The transcript has 2 exons. The record is from RefSeq and is a predicted model, not a curated record.
CAUCUCAACGACUUCUCGCCCUUCCUCGUCAUCCGCUCCUCCCUCGGAGGGUUGGACCCAUCCGCACGAUGGAGAAGCCCCGAGCAAGACCGUCCGUGGAAGAAGGCUAAGGUGGGGACCCGUAAGAUGUCUGAGGCAGCAGCGGCUGAGGGAACUACUACCGUGUGGGGGGGGGUGAGCGCGGAGAAAGUUCUCAGGACACGCCCCUGACGGAGGUGUUGGCGGGAGCACGCACGGUAAGGAGCGUGUUCCCCUGUCGGGGGUGGAGCCUGGGAGGUCGGUUCGACCGGCGUCGAUGCAAGACCUUUGUCGCAUCCGACCGCAAACUAAGAACAAGCCUUUCUAAGCUCUAUUGAUGGGUGAAUUACCUGAUGGCAAGGCAAAGGCUUCCCUCGAGCCGCAUUGGUCGGGGCUGACCGUGGGGACCCGCGUGUCGACUAAUGGCUUCUCGUUCGUGGCGUAUAUCCAUGGUGCGCUCGUCCCGACAGCAGUGAAGUAGGUGUAUACCUCUCCAUCGGAGGUGCUGAUCAAUAAAGCCGCCAAGUCCUUGGUCUGGAACCAACACUACUACAUAGGGCUGAUAGAUCGAGUUCGGGACGCGGGUCGAGUAAUCAGCAACAUGGGGGAUAAGAUUUCCGAGCUUCAUGGUCAAAUCAAAGAAUUAAAGCGGGGUUCUGCCCCGGAAGCUGUUGCGAUGGCCGAGUAGCAAGUGACCAACCUGGAAUCGGAGGUGGCUCGGCUGAAGUCUGAACUUGCGGAUGCUGAGCGGGACCGAGCCAUGCUUCGAGAAAAGCUUGCAGAGGCUCAGUGCCUAUUGAUGGAGUCCCGCAGGUCUGCUCGAUGGAGGGCGAGCUACUAGACCUGUCGUGGGGUCUGGAGGCGGCUUGGGUAGAGACGAAGAAGGCUGAAGAAGCUCUUGCUGAGGAGGUUCGGGUGGUGCUUGAAAAGGGGAAGAAAA